AACGAACGCUGGCGGCAGGCCUAACACAUGCAAGUCGAGCGAGGACUUCGGUCCUAGCGGCGGACGGGUGAGUAACGCGUGGGAACGUGCCCUUUGCUGCGGAAUAGCCCUGGGAAACUGGGAGUAAUACCGGAUGAGCCCUUUGGGGGAAAGAUUUAUCGGCGAAGGAUCGGCCCGCGUUGGAUUAGGUAGUUGGUGGGGUAAUGGCCUACCAAGCCGACGAUCCAUAGCUGGUUUGAGAGGAUGAUCAGCCACACUGGGACUGAGACACGGCCCAGACUCCUACGGGAGGCAGCAGUGGGGAAUCUUAGACAAUGGGGGAAACCCUGAUCUAGCCAUGCCGCGUGAGCGAUGAAGGCCUUAGGGUUGUAAAGCUCUUUCAGCUGGGAAGAUAAUGACGGUACCAGCAGAAGAAGCCCCGGCUAACUCCGUG
This 433-nucleotide ribosomal RNA is filed under the name uncultured bacterium. Its description in RNAcentral is "partial 16S ribosomal RNA". It matches the Rfam family "Bacterial small subunit ribosomal RNA", at positions 29 to 507 of the family's 1533-position model. The record is from RNAcentral.